AGUUUGAUCCUGGCUCACGACGAACGCUGGCGGCGUGCUUAACACAUGCAAGUCGAACGGGUCUGCCUUGUUUUUUGCGGGGUGGGUCAGUGGCGAACGGGUGAGUAACACGUGAGUAACCUGCCCCUCACUUCUGGAUAACCGCUUGAAAGGGUGGCUAAUACGGGGUGUUCUGGCUGUGCCGCAUGGUGUGGCUGGGAAAGAUUCACUUUUGUGGUGUUUUGGUGGGGGAUGGGCUCGCGGCCUAUCAGCUUGUUGGUGGGGUGAUGGCCUGCCGAGGCUUUGACGGGUAGCCGGCCUGAGAGGGUGGGCGGUCACACUGGGACUGAGAUACAGCCCAGACUCCUGCGGGAGGCAGCAGUGGGGGGUAUUGCACAACGGGCGGAAGCCUGAUGCAGCGACGUCGCGUGAGGGAUGGAGGCCUUCGGGUUGUGAACCUCUUUCACCGGUGAGGAAGGUCCUGUUCUUUGUGGUGGGGCUGACGGUAGCCGGGUUAUGAAGCGCCGGCUAACUACGUGCCAGCAGCCGCGGUAAUACGUAGGGCGCGAGCGUUGUCCGGAAUUAUUGGUCGUAAAGGGCUUGUACGCGGCUGGUCACGUCUGCCGUGAAAUCCUCUGGCUCAGCUGGGGGCG
RNAcentral lists this ribosomal RNA (632 nucleotides) under uncultured bacterium. RNAcentral's name for it is "bacterial SSU rRNA". It matches the Rfam family "Bacterial small subunit ribosomal RNA", at positions 10 to 621 of the family's 1533-position model. The record is from RNAcentral.